This 1836-nucleotide ribosomal RNA is filed under the name Triticum aestivum (bread wheat). RNAcentral's name for it is "partial small subunit ribosomal RNA". The record is from RNAcentral. Lineage: Eukaryota; Viridiplantae; Streptophyta; Magnoliopsida; Poales; Poaceae.
AUGCCGGCCACCCCUCUCGUCCUCGCCCUCUUGCUUCUGCUCCUCGCCGCCGGGCCGCUCCCCGUGGCCCCCGCCUCCACCGACCGCGCUGCGCUACUCGCCUUCCGGGCGUCCCUCUCCCCGCCCUCCCGCGCGGCGCUCUCGUCCUGGCACGGCCCGCUCUCCUCGUCCUGGCUCGGGGUCUCGCUCCACCCACCCGCCGUGGCCGCUCCGCCCUCCGUCACGGCGCUCGCGCUCCAGGGACUCAACCUCUCCGGGCCGCUCCCUGCCCCUUCGCUCGCGCUCCUACGCCGCCUCCGAGAGCUCGACCUCUCCGCCAACGCGCUCUCCGGCGAGCUCCCCUGCUCCCUACCGCGCUCGCUUGUCGACCUCGACCUCUCCCGCAACGCGCUCUCGGGUGCCAUCCCCACCUGCCUCCCUGCCUCGCUCCCGGCCCUCCGCACCCUCAAUCUCUCGUCCAACUCUCUCGGGUUCCCACUUUCCCCGUGGUUCUCCUUCUCCUCGCGCCUCGUUGCCCUCGAUUUCUCCAGCAACGCCCUCUCUGGCGCCGUCCCGCCGCGUAUCGUCGCCGACCCCGACGCAUCCAGCCUCCUCCUCCUCGACCUCUCCCACAACCGCUUCUCCGGAGAGAUCCCUGUGGGGAUAACCGCUAUACGGAGCCUGCAGGGCCUGUUCCUUGCGGACAAUCAGCUGUCCGGGGAGAUCCCAGCCGGGAUUGGGAACCUGACCUACUUGCAGGCGCUUGAUUUGUCACAUAACCGGCUGUCCGGUCUAGUGCCUGCGGGGCUUGCCGGCUGCUUCCAGCUUCUGUACCUGCGUCUCGGGGGGAAUCAGCUCUCUGGGGCGCUGCGGCCGGAGCUUGAUGCACUUGAUAGUCUGAAGGUUCUAGAUUUGUCGAACAACCGGAUAUCUGGUGAGAUUCCGCUGCCGCUGGCUGGGUGCCGGUCUCUUGAGGUGGUGAUCUUGUCGGGAAAUGAGAUCACUGGGGAGCUCAGUGGGGCUGUGGCGAAAUGGCAGAGCCUGAGGUCCCUGUCGCUGGCUGAUAAUCAGCUCUCCGGCCAGCUACCAGAUUGGAUGUUCUCAUUCCCGGUUCUCCAGUGGCUUGAUUUGUCUGGCAAUAGGUUUGAGGGUUUCAUCCCUGAUGGUGGUUUCAAUGCAAGUUCAGUGCUUAAUGGCGCAGGUGGUGCUCAGGGCAUUCCAUCCCGCCGUGGUAUGAUUUCACCUCAAUUGUUUGUGUCAGCAUCUGUAGAUUCCACAGGUCAGCAGCUUGAGCUUGGUUAUGAUCUUCGGGCAGCUCCUGGUAUAGAUCUAUCAACGAAUUUGCUCCAUGGAGAGAUACCUGAAGGGUUGGUUGCAAUGAAGGGAUUGGAGUACCUGAACCUCUCUUGCAAUUACUUAGCUGGGCAGAUCCCUGCAGAGCUUGGGGGGAUGGGGAGGCUGCGGACGCUGGACUUCUCACAUAAUGGGCUGUCAGGGGAGGUGCCUCCUGUAAUUGCUGCCAUGACAGAGCUCGAGGCGCUUAACCUCUCUUACAAUAGCCUAUCUGGGCCUUUGCCAACAACCGAUGGGUUGCGGAAAUUCCCAGGAGCGUUGGCAGGAAACCCUGGGAUAUGCGGUGGGGAAGGGUGCACUAUGGAUGCAACGAUGCCAGAAGGGAAAAUUUCAGGAAAUAAUCGUCAUGGCUGGCUCAGUGACUGGCAUGGAGAGAAUGGAUGGGUGUCCCUUGGGGCGUUCUCUAUCAGCACGAUGACUAGCUUUUUUGUGUCGUUGGCAACCUUGCUAUGCUCCCCCAAGGCUAGGAAUUUCGUAUUUCGGCCUGUGAGGAUAGAAUAUUGA